UCGCCCUACACUGUAAACACCGAUUUUUAAUUUAAUUCAAAAACCUGCCUGGUCACGUGACAAGAACAGCGUCUUGUAACGUGCGUCCAAAGGGAUCUACACCUGGCGGGACGAGCAGCACAGGCAUCGGCAGCAGACGGUACCCUGACCAGGAAGCAACUUUACUCAAAGUGGAAUGGUGUUCAUGGAGUUCAGCAGGAUUGUGGGCAAGAACCUCAAGCAGGAAUUCUACGAGAGCAUUGGCCGGCACAGUCCUCGUCUCCUCGAGUUAUUUCGAUCCAAGAGAGGGAAUGUUGGACAGUUGUUGACACAGAUUUCACAACAGACCAAUACUACAGAGCCAACUGUGAUCUGGACACAGGUGCUCAGAGGGUUUCCUAUGUGGGGACAACCCCACAGACUUCUUCAAAGCAGGCUUUUCUUUAUUUAGGAAUUCGAUGAUGAUGAGGAUUCUUUUCGUGACCUUGACGUUGGGCUACUUCUCAUUGAGCGUGAAGGUGCUGGGCUCACAUCUUCCCAGCAUCUCAGUCCAGCCUCGCUGAAAAUCAGCAUUGUGGGAGAAGUCGUGAUGGACAACAUUCAAGAUCUGCCAGAAGCAAUGUACAUUCUGUUUGGACUCACGUAUGCACUCCAUCUUAACAAUCCCAAGACUAUGAAGCUCACAUUUCAGGUCAUCCAACAGGUAUUGCUCUUGUUAGGCCACACUGACCUAAAGCCGAAGCUACAGACUUCGAAAAACCAGCUCGCAAUGUAAAGAGAUGUCAAGUCUACUGUAAGAAGCUGUUGCCACACCAGUAAAACACUUUCUUACCUG
This is a long non-coding RNA of Perca fluviatilis (European perch), 814 nucleotides long. RefSeq lists it as uncharacterized. The record is from RefSeq and is a predicted model, not a curated record. NCBI's taxonomy places the organism in Eukaryota, Metazoa, Chordata, Actinopteri, Perciformes, Percidae. The transcript has 4 exons.